CUCGCUCUGGGUGGUGUCCUCAAGCCGGUGCCGCGAGUGUGGCCGCCUGCCUGGCUCCGCUGGUCUGGCUGAGUCAGGCUCUGCUGCCAGCAUAGUGACCCUGGGACAGCUGAGAAUGGGGACUGGCGACAAACAGGAGGGAGGGGAAGGGGUGUGGCCAGGUUGGGGAAGGAGCGCUGGACCAGGAGCUGGCCCACCAGAUUCCCAUGGGAGCCUCCUCUUGGAGGACUGUGUGACCGAAAAGAACUCGCUGAACCUCUCUGGGCUGCACUCAUGCAACGAAAAAUUCCAGUAGACUUGGUGUGCGCCCGGGGCUGGGGCUGCUGCGGUGACCAGGACCCACGUGGCAUAGAAGCCCUGGUUAAGGAUGUGACCUCGGAAUCCCAGUAGCUUUCACACCCUACUGACUGGGUGACCUUGGGCAAGAUAACCAACCUCUCUGUACUUCAUUAUCCUCAUGGGUAGUUUGGUAGUAACACCUGCUCACAGGGCUGUGAGGAUUAAAUAUAUGCGUAGGUGUGAAAUCCUAAGACUAGUGUCUACUAGGCACUAUUAUUAAGUGUAUAAGAAUCUUCAUUAUUAGCUAUCGCUAUCUUUACCCUCCUGGAGCUUGUAUUCACUGACUUUAGUUUUAAAUUUCCUUUUUAUUAUGAACCAUCUGAUAUAUAUAUAUAUAAAAAACACUGACAGUGUGUUCCCAUCACCCUAUUUAAGAAAUAAAGCAUUAUAAAUCCAUUCUAUUUGCUCUAACUUUAGUCAAGCCUUGAUAUUUCCUGCUUCCAAAACCUCUGAAAUCCGCUGCCUCCGACCCAUCCUCUGCAGUGCUCGCAGUCUGGGUGAGAUCCACAUCAAACACAAAUGGGACCUGGCCAUGACUCUGCUUGAAAAUGUCCACCUAUAAGAUGAAGAUAAAGUCAUGCACACCCCCUUCACUUCUGAUCCUCACUGAUUCUUCCUGUUUGGUCUCUGCCGCCCACUUUGGUAAGUUCCUCUUACUAUUUCUUAAAUAUCUCUGUUCUUUGUGUAUGUUGGCCCCUCUCUCUGGGGUCCUGUGCAUUCCUUCCCUCUCUCACUCAUUCCAGGAGAAACACCAUCUUUUGAAUCCCCCCGGGCUCCUGAGCACCUUCCCCACUGGUGUGUGUGUCCCCAUCUGUCCAUGUGUCUGUCUGUCCUCCCCUAGACUGUAAGCUCCUGGCAGUGGGCCCUCCAAUGACUCAUUUUCAUCUGCUCCUAGUAAAAGAAAGGCAUGUCCUACACUACAGUUGUAGUUGACUGUAGUUGACUGUGUCUGGGGCACCCUGUCCUAGGGUGUCCACCCAGUGACUCCAAUGUCAUCCUUUUCAUGGGAUGACAUUACAGUCCCUCAGCAGUAAAAUCACUGGGGAAGAAUACAGAGAUCGUUAAAUGGGGUCCCCAUUUUAAAGACACUCCAGCACAGUGCUGUUUUCCUACUGUGCCCAGUCCCCCUUCCGAGCCCGUUCCUACUCCUCCCUGCUUCUUGCUCCAUCCCUGUCUCCUCUCACUGAGGACACUGGGUUCCUCAUGAGGAGUGGAUCUUCCCCAGGGACUAAGAUACAGGACAUGCAGUGACCGUGUCAUGGAUCCAAGAGGCUUGUGGAUUUGGGGAAACCGAGUGGAUGUCAAGCCUGGCUCCAGAGAGCCCAGGUUCUAGGAGCAGAGAAGAAAUGCUCCCAGCCUGUUUCUAACCGGUCAGCUAUAUUUGCGAAGCAGAUUCUUUUCACAGAAAGAGGGAAACCUAAGUCCCCAUUUAAGCAAGUUGGAAAUAAACUGAAUGAAAGGGACCAUGUCUGUUUUGUUCACUGCCAUGCAUCACCCCACUCCUCCUGGAGCCUAGAACGGUACCUGGCAUAGAGGAGGAUGCUCAGAAGAAAUGACUAAUGAAGGUGGAAGUGUCCAGGGCCUACGGAAGUUGGAAUGCAGCUCUGCACACAGUCCUGGGCUCUGGAAGGCAGGCGUUGGCCACUGUGCCCCUCAGCCCCUUCCCCGACCGAGCAUGGCUGGUGCCAGUGGGCAUUGAGGCCAGAGAUGUUUAUCACACACCUGCUGUGUGCCAUCAGGUGUGUCUCGGUCGGCCUGGGAAGAGUAGAUAUUACAUAGAAAACCAAGGGCAAGGGCAAGACAAGACAGGAUGCGCUCUCCAAUGGUGGUCAAGUCUUACUUUUAUCUCUUCUUGGCUUUGUCAUGUUGUCUGUCACUAACUAGGUCAUGCCCUCUUUGGUGACAGAGUGGUUUCAUAUGUUGAAUUCUACAGCCAACCAUUUUUUGUUGAUUUAUUCUUUUCUUCAGCCAAUGUUUACUAAUAUUCAUAAUUCAGGUUUUUAAAAAGAUUUAUUCAUUAGAGAGAAAGAGAGCACAUGUAUGAGGGUGGGGGUGUGUAGGAGCAGAGGGUAAAGGAGAGAGAGAACUCAGGCAGACUCUGCGCUGAGUGUGAGCCUGAUGCAGAGCACGAUCCCACAACCCUGAGA
Canis lupus familiaris (dog) is the source of this 2486-nucleotide long non-coding RNA. RefSeq lists it as uncharacterized. The transcript is spliced from 3 exons. The record is from RefSeq and is a predicted model, not a curated record. Lineage: Eukaryota; Metazoa; Chordata; Mammalia; Carnivora; Canidae.